RNAcentral lists this ribosomal RNA (631 nucleotides) under uncultured Piloderma. RNAcentral's name for it is "eukaryotic LSU rRNA". The stretch from base 220 to 374 matches the Rfam family "5.8S ribosomal RNA". The record is from RNAcentral. Lineage: Eukaryota; Fungi; Basidiomycota; Agaricomycetes; Atheliales; Atheliaceae.
UGCAAUCGUAGCGGAGGACUUGGUCAUUUAGAGGAAGUAAGCGGAUCAGCAUAUCGAUGAACGGAGGACUUGGUCAUUUAUAGGAAGUACCCCUUAUCAAUAUAUCCCUGGACCUUGGAUGUUGGGGCCCGUAAAAAGGCCCCUACGUCUUCAUCAUAAACUCAGUCUAUCAGAAUGUAAUCUAUGUCCUCGCCCUAAAAAGCGUUGAUAAACUUAUACAACUUUCAACAACGGAUCUCUUGGCUCUCGCAUCGAUGAAGAACGCAGCGAAAUGCGAUAAGUAAUGUGAAUUGCAGAUUUUCAGUGAAUCAUCGAAUCUUUGAACGCACCUUGCGCUCCUUGGUAUUCCGAGGAGCAUGCCUGUUUGAGUGUCAUUAAAUUCUCAACCCGAAACCUUUUGGUUUCGGAGCUUGGACUUGGAGCGUGCUGGCCUUCCGGGGUCGGCUCCUCUCAAAUGCAUCAGCGGAAUAUCUAACCUUUGGGGUUUCCGGAAGUCGGUGUGAUAAUCAUGUUGCGCCGUCAUCUGACCUCACAAGUCCGCUUACAAUGGUCUUCGGACAAACUCAUCAAAUUUGACCUCAAAUCAGGUAGGACUACCCGCUGAACUUAAGCAUAUCAAUAAGGCGGAGGA